Molecule: ribosomal RNA, 600 nt
Filed under: Rasbora trilineata (scissor-tailed rasbora)
Lineage: Eukaryota; Metazoa; Chordata; Actinopteri; Cypriniformes; Danionidae
Description: partial 16S large subunit ribosomal RNA
Rfam family: Bacterial large subunit ribosomal RNA
Source: RNAcentral
ACAUCGCCUCUGCAAUAUCCAAGAUGGAGGUCCAGCUGGCCAGUGACUACAAGUUCAACGGCCCGGUAUUUUACCCGGUGCAAAGGUAGCGCAAUCACUUCGUCCUCUAAUUAAGGACCUGUAUGAAUGGUUAGACGAGGGCUUAACUGUCUCCCCUCUCCAGUCAGUGAAAUUGAUCUAUCCGUGCAGAAGCGGGUAUAAUAAUACAAGACGAGAAGACCCUUUGGAGCUUAAGGUACAAGAAUCAAUCAUGUUAAACAAACUUUUAAAGUCCUUAAACCUAGUGAAAAAUGAAUCUCUACCUUCGGUUGGGGCGACCACGGAGAAAAAAACAACCUCCAAGUGGACCGGAUUAUUUCCAAAACCAAGAUUAAAACACCUCUAAGUAACAGAAUAUCUGACCAAAAAUGAUCCGGCCACAAGCCGAUCAACGAACCAAGUUACCCAAGGGAUAACAGCGCAAUCCUCUUCCAGAGUUCAUAUCGACAAGAGGGUUUACGACCUCGAUGUUGGGAUCAAGGACAUCCUAAUGGUGCAGCCGCUAUUAAGGGUUCGUUUGUUCAACCGAUUAAAGUCCUACGUGAUCUGAGUUCAAAACCG